This 1928-nucleotide long non-coding RNA is filed under the name Musa acuminata (dwarf banana). RNAcentral's name for it is "long non-coding RNA (MACU_LNC011382)". Lineage: Eukaryota; Viridiplantae; Streptophyta; Magnoliopsida; Zingiberales; Musaceae. The record is from RNAcentral.
GUAAUUGUUCUAAUCUUUCUUAUUGCAAGUAUCCUGAUCUUUCCUCACUGCAAUUUUAUCUCUAAUUUGCUUUGAAUAUGAGGAACUUUGAAUUGUUCUAGCCUUGCAUUUGAUAUAUCUCCUGUUUAGAUGUAACGAUUCGAAUCUGUGCAACUUCCAAGAUUCUGACCUUUCUACCUUGUUAUGAUUAUAACUUCAUGUAUUGACAUCUGAUUUGGACAAAACUUAUUUGAUCAGAAUAUAGACUCAUAAACCUUUGUUUUGAUAGCUUAUUUUAAGAAUUCGGAGUAAGUUUGUCUGCCCAAACUUCUAUUUCAAAUGAGCCUACAGAUUCUGCAAAACAGGGAUCGUAAUUUCUGACCUUUUGCUACUGAACUGCUUAUAAGUCCCUGUUGCAAACAUUGAUUUAUUCAAAGCUUAUUUCAUUGGAAACUAGACUCAUAGAUCUUUCUUUUGAUAUAUGGAUUGAAAGAUUUAGAAUCCAAACACCUACCCAAUUAUCUGUUGAAUCUGACAUUAUGAAUUCUGCUAAAUAGAGAUUUUGUUCUACGACCCUUGUUUACCAAAUUAUUUGUAACUCUCUCUAUUGGACAGUUCAAUUCAUAUGAAGCCUGUCAUAUCUGAAUGUAUAAUCCAAUGAUAUAUUUCUGAGUAAAUUGGAGCACAAUUGAUAGUUUGAAUCAUUUGUUCAAUGUGCCUCUUGUAUUCUGCUAGAAAUCGAGCUUUGGUCGAUUUCUAAUAUUCUAGUUUCAUUCCUUUGGAAAUUGAUAUCCUUUAGCUUUCUUAUUCAAUUGAGCUUUAUAUUACUACUUUGAAUUCUUUUAUGCUCUUAUCCUUAAAGUUAUUUGCAUUCUUGAAAACUAUUGUGUAACAUUUAUGCUAUAUCGUAUUGACUCAUUUAGGCACAUGUGUAUCCCAUUGUUCCGCAUUUGCUUUCGAUAUGUGCCUCUUCUAUUUCCUUUCAAAAUCCGAAUACCAUUGUGAAAGAUUAUUGCUUACUUCGUAUUGACUCGUAAAGGCACAUGUACGUUUUGUUGUUCCGCGUGUGCUUCCGAUAUAUGCUACUUAUUGAUAAAACUGUCCUCUUGUACUCUGGUGUUGUGGGAUUGUCUGGACCUUUGCUAGAAAUGGUAAAGGGUGUUAUUCUGGACCUUUGCCAGAAAUGGUGAAGGGUGUUAUUCUGGACCUUUGCCAGAAAUGGUAAAGGGUAUGUGCUUAGAGCCUGCAAUGCUCUGCCGGCCCCCUCUGGCUUCACCUAGACGUGGGUGGAUGGAGCUCCCAGACGUGGGAGACUUCUGUCAGGUGGUCAUUCAGAAAUGGAUGAAUCACAUUCUGACUGAGAUCCACUACACCUUCUAUAUGUUUGAUAUGAUAUCCAGAGCUUUGGUUAUGUAUUUCUGUACAUGCUUUGGAUAAGAAUGAUAUGAUUGCAACGUCAAAGACGACGUUUGAGCUUCUAUACGGUAUUUGUUAUUGAUAUGCUCUGAAAAGUUUCAUUCACUGUUGAUAUGCUUCGAAAUGUUCCAUAUGCCAUUGAUAUGCUCCGGAACAUUUCAUACGCCAUUGAUAAGCUCCGAAACAUUUCAUUUGUUAUUGAUAUGCUUCGAAAUGUUCCAUACGCCAUUGAUAUGCUCCGGAACAAUUCAUAUGCCAUUGAUAAGCUCCGAUAUAUUUCAUUUGUUAUUGAUAUGCUUUGAAAUGUACCCUUUGCCAUUGAUAUGCUCCGGAACAUCUCGUACGCUAUUGAUAUGCUCCAAUUACUCUAUGCUCCAUUUGUUAUGAAUCAAAUAUGUUUGAAAUGACAUGAUACAUAUGAUUUUGUAUCUAAUGAAAUGGUAUCCUUGAGAAUUCUUGUAUUCUGCCUUGCAUUAUGAUACCUUGUUUGAAACCAUUCCUUUUGUUCUGAAUAUGCUUUGUCACUUGCUGAG